Molecule: ribosomal RNA, 435 nt
Filed under: uncultured bacterium
Lineage: Bacteria
Description: partial 16S ribosomal RNA
Rfam family: Bacterial small subunit ribosomal RNA
Source: RNAcentral
AGCGAACGCUGGCGGCAGGCUUAACACAUGCAAGUCGAGCGGGCACUUUCGGGUGUCAGCGGCGGACGGGUGAGUAACGCGUGGGAACGUGCCCUCUGGUUCGGAAUAACUCAGGGAAACUUGAGCUAAUACCGGAUACGCCCUUUUGGGGAAAGGCUUGCUGCCGGAGGAUCGGCCCGCGUCUGAUUAGCUAGUUGGUGAGGUAACGGCUCACCAAGGCGACGAUCAGUAGCUGGUCUGAGAGGAUGAUCAGCCACACUGGGACUGAGACACGGCCCAGACUCCUACGGGAGGCAGCAGUGGGGAAUAUUGGACAAUGGGCGCAAGCCUGAUCCAGCCAUGCCGCGUGAGUGAUGAAGGUCUUAGGGUUGUAAAGCUCUUUUAUCCGGGACGAUAAUGACGGUACCGGAGGAAUAAGCCCCGGCUAACUUCGUG